AGGUGCCCCGCUGCCGGUCGGUUCACAGCUGGUGCAUGGUCGUCGUCAGCUCGUGUCGGUGAGAUGUUGGCUUAAGUCCCGCAACGAGCGCAACCCUCGUUCUAUGUUGCCAGCGCGUAAUGUCGGGGACUCAUAGGAGACUGCCGGGGUCAACUCGGAGGAAGGUGGGGACGACGUCAAAUCAUCAUGCCCCUUAUGUCUUGGGCUUCACGCAUGGUACAAUGGCCGGUACAAAGGGUUGCGAUACUGUGAGGUGGAGCUAAUCCCAAAAAGCCGGUCUCAGUUCGGAUUGGGGUCUGCAACUCGACCCCAUGAAGUCGGAGUCGUCUAGUAAUCGCAGAUCAGCAACGCUGCGGUGAUACGUUCCCGGGC
RNAcentral lists this ribosomal RNA (372 nucleotides) under uncultured bacterium. RNAcentral's name for it is "bacterial SSU rRNA". It matches the Rfam family "Bacterial small subunit ribosomal RNA", at positions 1009 to 1379 of the family's 1533-position model. The record is from RNAcentral.